UAGAGUUUGAUCCUGGCUCAGGACGAACGCUGGCGGCGUGCCUAAUACAUGCAAGUCGAACGAACUCUGGUAUUGAUUGGUGCUUGCAUCAUGAUUUACAUUUGAGUGAGUGGCGAACUGGUGAGUAACACGUGGGAAACCUGCCCAGAAGCGGGGGAUAACACCUGGAAACAGAUGCUAAUACCGCAUAACAACUUGGACCGCAUGGUCCGAGCUUGAAAGAUGGCUUCGGCUAUCACUUUUGGAUGGUCCCGCGGCGUAUUAGCUAGAUGGUGGGGUAACGGCUCACCAUGGCAAUGAUACGUAGCCGACCUGAGA
Molecule: ribosomal RNA, 318 nt
Filed under: Lactiplantibacillus plantarum
Lineage: Bacteria; Bacillati; Bacillota; Bacilli; Lactobacillales; Lactobacillaceae
Description: bacterial SSU rRNA
Rfam family: Bacterial small subunit ribosomal RNA
Source: RNAcentral